This 1177-nucleotide long non-coding RNA is filed under the name Monodelphis domestica (gray short-tailed opossum). RNAcentral describes it as "lncRNA (ENSMODG00000043939.1)". The record is from RNAcentral. Lineage: Eukaryota; Metazoa; Chordata; Mammalia; Didelphimorphia; Didelphidae.
AUGCCUACUGACCUUUCGGGAACAAUUAGAGAUAGAACACUAAGACCAAUGCAUACUGGACCAGUGGGAAAAUUAAGACUUAAGAAAAUGAUGGAGAAAAUGGCAAUAAAAGUGGGUUCCAUGUCCAUUUUGCCAGAAGUUUUAACAGCUCUGCACUCUAUCCAUUGCACCAUCUAGUGACCCAGUUGAGAAUAGGAAAAAGGCCUCGGGAUAGCACUUUGAGAUGUCUGCAUUUAUCAAUGGAAUGAUCAAUUGAGGAUGGCUAAAUGAGUUGUAACACAUAGUUGUGAUGGAAUGCUACUGUGUCGUAAGAAAUAACACAGAUUAAUUUUGGAAAGAUCUACAUGAAAUUGUGAAGAGUGAAAUGAGCAGAACCAAGAGAGCAUAAUAUACAGCAACAGAAACAUUUUUUAAGAAUGACUUGUGUAUGUCCAUCCUCAGAGAAAGAGCAAUAAGUAGAAAUCAGUAUGAAAUUGUUAUAUAUAUAUAUAUACAUAUAGAUAGAUAGAUAGAUAGAUAGAUAGAUAGAUAGAUAGAUAGAUAGAUAGAUAGAUAGAUUAUGCCUUCUCUAGUAAGAGGAGGGAGAAGUUUAACUGGGUAUUUUAAUGUAACAAAUUAACUAAUUAGUUAAUUUUAAAAAUUAAAGGUGUGACAAGGAUGUUCAGCAAGAGAGUGAGGAGUAGUCAGUUAGAUAGGAGAACCAGGAGAAUCAAUGUCAAGAAAACCCAGAAAUGAAAGAGAAUCUGGGAGGAAUAGGUGGCCAGCAGUGUCAAAUGCUUCAGAGAAGUCAAAAAGGAUAUGGAUUGAGAAAAGGAUAUUGACUAAUACUCAGAAACCAGGGUGCAAAAGACUGAGAAAUGAGUUAGAAAACAGGAAGCAUAGGCAAUGAAUCCAAAUAACUUUUUCUAGUUUGGCUGAGAAAUGGAGAAUUAUAGGAUGAUAAAUUGAAGGGAUGGUAGUAUCUACUGAGGAUUUUUUUAAAGAUGAGGGUGAUUUGGGCAUGUUUAUGGCCAUCAGGAAAGGACUGAGGGGAUAUGGAGAAAUUUAAGGUGGGGUGGUGGUGGUGGUGGUGGUGGUGGUUUGGUUGUGGGACAAUCUGUGUUCAUUUAGGGGAGGAAAAAGAGCUUCCCCUUCAUCAGAGAAUAAAUAAAAGAAGGAAUAAAGGAGAGAAGGGGAG